GCAUAACGCGAAGAACCUUACCUAAGCUUGACAUCCUUUUGACCGAUGCCUAAUCGCUAUUUUUCCCUUCGGGGACAGAAGUGACAGGUGGUGCAUGGUUGUCGUCAGCUCGUGUCGUGAGAUGUUGGGUUAAGUCCCGCAACGAGCGCAACCCUUGCUAUUAGUUGCUAACAGGUAGAGCUGAGCACUCUAAUGGGACUGCCCGUGACAAGCGGGAGGAAGGUGGGGCGACGUCAAAUCAUCAUGCCCCUUAUGUCCUGGGCCACACACGUAAUACAAUGGCGUUAAACAGAGGGAUGCUAAGCCGUGAGGUGGAGCGAACCCCUAAAAGGCGUCUCAGUUCGGAUUGCAGGCUGCAACUCGCCUGCAUGAAGUCGGAAUCGCUAGUAAUCGCGGAUCAGAAUGCCGCGGUGAAUACGUUCCCGGGUCUUGUACACACCG
RNAcentral lists this ribosomal RNA (441 nucleotides) under uncultured bacterium. RNAcentral's name for it is "bacterial SSU rRNA". It matches the Rfam family "Bacterial small subunit ribosomal RNA", at positions 954 to 1392 of the family's 1533-position model. The record is from RNAcentral.